This 54-nucleotide small RNA is filed under the name Salix viminalis (osier). The record is from RNAcentral. Lineage: Eukaryota; Viridiplantae; Streptophyta; Magnoliopsida; Malpighiales; Salicaceae.
UAAAAAAAUUAAUAUCGGUGUCGAUGAAUUUCUCUUGAUUAUAAGAGUUUCAAU